GUAAUGACUACAUAGCAUUUACGUGGUAUCAGCUAUUACAACUAAUCUAGAGAUGAUUUAAGGUAUGCAGGAGGGUGUGUGGGUUCUGCACAAUACUAGGGCAGUCUAUAAAAGAGACCUGAGUCUGCUGAUUUCGGUGUCCAUGGGGGUCCUGAGACCACUCCCCCAUGGAUACAGAGGGGCUUCAACACUCCUGUGGGUACUCUGGCCUCUUGCCUUUUCCUCUGUGAAGUACUGAAGUCUACAACAGCUAGCGUGCAUUUCCACCGUGGUUCAGGGAUGCAAAAUCGCGUGGAGAAGUGCAGGGUUGGCACGGCCGAAGCAUAUCUGGACUUCAGGGGGAGAUCUGAAAAGCUCUCCUGAAAUAUGGAAAACAGAGACAGUCCGCUUACACAACAGGAAUUGGUGCCUCUUGUCUGCAGCAGUCACAGAACAGGCGUUCUCAGAGGUGAGCUGCAGCCUGUCACAUGGCUCGCUCUAUCAUCCCAGGCUUUCUCAACGACUUAAGAUUAGUUGAAGGCCUUCUUACCAACUUGCAGGUGAACAGAACUGCGAGCAGUGGCCAAGAUGUUGAAGGCAGAAAUGAGAUGCAAACCCACUUAAUAUUCAGAAUCAGCGGUCUCCAGUUCAUCAUCCAAUUAGAAUAUCAGCAGGUUAAGGAUCAACCACACAAGUGCAAGGUGGAGCUGUGGUCAUGUGGGAGUGACUCAUGAGUCCCUAUCCAGAGAGCAAAUGCACGCAAGUCAAUUCUGUGUUUUCAGGACUGACCAGGUGGCCGAGUACACAGUUCCCCUCAUUGUUCACAGGCCGUGUGAGUUUAGAAAUUUGUCUAUCUGGGGCCAGCGCCGUGGCUCACUUGGCUAAUCCUCCGCCUGCAGUGCUGGCAUCCCAUAUGGGCGCUGGGUUCUGGUCCCGGUUACUCCUCUUCCAGUCCAGCUCUCUGCUGUGGCCUGGGAAGGCAGUGGAGGAUGGCCCAGGUGCUUGGGCCCUGCACCCGUGUAGGAGACCAGGAGGAAGCACCUGGCUUCUGGCUUCGGUUCUGCAUAGCUCCAGCCAUGGCAGCCAUUUGGAGGGUGAACCAACAGAAGGAAGACCUUUCUCUCUGUUUCUCUCCCUCACUGUCUAACUCUGUCAAAAAGAAAAUAAAGAAAUUUGUCUAUCUGACA
RNAcentral lists this long non-coding RNA (1166 nucleotides) under Oryctolagus cuniculus (rabbit). Its description in RNAcentral is "lncRNA (ENSOCUG00000034506.1)". The record is from RNAcentral. Lineage: Eukaryota; Metazoa; Chordata; Mammalia; Lagomorpha; Leporidae.